AGAGUUCGAUCCUGGCUCAGGAUGAACGCUGGCGGCGCGCCUAACACAUGCAAGUCGAACGGCACCUAUCUUCGGAUAGAAGCGAGUGGCGAACGGCUGAGUAACACGUGGAGAACCUGCCCCCUCCCCCGGGAUAGCCGCCCGAAAGGACGGGUAAUACCGGAUACCCCGGGGUGCCGCAUGGCACCCCGGCUAAAGCCCCGACGGGAGGGGAUGGCUCCGCGGCCCAUCAGGUAGACGGCGGGGUGACGGCCCACCGUGCCGACAACGGGUAGCCGGGUUGAGAGACCGACCGGCCAGAUUGGGACUGAGACACGGCCCAGACUCCUACGGGAGGCAGCAGUGGGGAAUCUUGCGCAAUGGGGGGAACCCUGACGCAGCGACGCCGCGUGCGGGACGGAGGCCUUCGGGUCGUAAACCGCUUUCAGCAGGGAAGAGUCAAGACUGUACCUGCAGAAGAAGCCCCGGCUAACUACGUGCCAGCAGCCGCGGUAAUACGUAGGGGGCGAGCGUUAUCCGGAUUCAUUGGGCGUAAAGCGCGCGUAGGCGGCCCGGCAGGCCGGGGGUCGAAGCGGGGGGCUCAACCCCCCGAAGCCCCCGGAACCUCCGCGGCUUGGGUCCGGUAGGGGAGGGUGGAACACCCGGUGUAGCGGUGGAAUGCGCAGAUAUCGGGUGGAACACCGGUGGCGAAGGCGGCCCUCUGGGCCGAGACCGACGCUGAGGCGCGAAAGCUGGGGGAGCGAACAGGAUUAGAUACCCUGGUAGUCCCAGCCGUAAACGAUGGACGCUAGGUGUGGGGGGACGAUCCCCCCGUGCCGCAGCCAACGCAUUAAGCGUCCCGCCUGGGGAGUACGGCCGCAAGGCUAAAACUCAAAGGAAUUGACGGGGGCCCGCACAAGCAGCG
RNAcentral lists this ribosomal RNA (904 nucleotides) under human gut metagenome. RNAcentral describes it as "bacterial SSU rRNA". It matches the Rfam family "Bacterial small subunit ribosomal RNA", at positions 8 to 934 of the family's 1533-position model. The record is from RNAcentral.